CUGAGUGUUUGACGCUCUGCCUUUGGGGGAGGCCGGUUUUAUAAACCAGCCACAGAAAGCAGGCGUUCAGAAAAGGAAAAUCCAAAAAGACAGUUUCUGUCAGCAACAAGGAAAUGGAAGUCACAGGCAAAACCAGAAAACCCCCUCCCUGGAGUAACCGUGAUCUGCAGGAUAAUUGGGCCAAGCUCUCUCAUCCGGGAGUGCACACUGAUGGCCAUGUCAGGACCCCAGGAACUGCUUAGCUCUGACAAUUUUAGGAGUUUGCCUGGCAAAAGGACACCGUCUGCAAACAUCUCAAGUUCAAUGGUGACCAACGAGUUAGGGGACUCUGCCACUACGGCAGAGUCCAAAUCAUCAGGCUUCGCUUGGAGGCUUGAAAUGAAGAAUGAGAUCCUAGAAUCAUAUACAAUAAUAAUGAGCCUUGAGAUUUCAUUUUUAAAAGGUGUCAGGAGCAAAGUGUAACCCCCGCCGCUGCAACUCUUUCAGAGCUCCUGAGAUGAUGAUCCUGCUGCUCGCACCUAUUGACUAGCUUGGAUCUACAGCCAUUCACGGGAGAAGAUUCUGGACAAUAUGGCUGCUGUGGGAUGUCUUUCCAUAUGCUGUGAAUAUGUGUGGCUCCCAU
Molecule: long non-coding RNA, 622 nt
Organism: Onychomys torridus (southern grasshopper mouse)
Lineage: Eukaryota; Metazoa; Chordata; Mammalia; Rodentia; Cricetidae
Exons: 4
Source: RefSeq, a predicted model, not a curated record